RNAcentral lists this ribosomal RNA (469 nucleotides) under uncultured bacterium. RNAcentral's name for it is "bacterial SSU rRNA". It matches the Rfam family "Bacterial small subunit ribosomal RNA", at positions 28 to 507 of the family's 1533-position model. The record is from RNAcentral.
GAUGAACGCUAGCGGCAGGCCUAAUACAUGCAAGUCAAGGGGCCAGCAAUGGCACCGGCGGACGGGUGCGUAACGCGUACACAACGUGCCUCUGACAGGGGGAUAGCAUUGGGAAACUGGUGGUAAUACCCCAUAGUAUUGCUGGGAGGCAUUUCUUGGCAAUUAAAGUUACGGCGGUCAGAGAUCGGUGUGCGUCCGAUUAGCUAGUUGGCGGGGUAACGGCCCACCAAGGCGACGAUCGGUAGGGGGUGUGAGAGCAUGACCCCCCCACAUGGGUACUGAGACACGGACCCAACUCCUACGGGAGGCAGCAGUAAGGAAUAUUGGACAAUGGUCGGAAGACUGAUCCAGCCAUGCCGCGUGAAGGACGAAGGCGCUCAGCGUUGUAAACUUCUUUUGGAUGGGGAUAAUAACCUCGAUUUAUCGGGGCUUGAAGGUACCAUCAGAAUAAGCACCGGCUAACUCCGUG